CCUACGGGAGGCAGCAGUGAGGAAUAUUGGUCAAUGGGCGGGAGCCUGAACCAGCCAAGCCGCGUGAGGGAAGAAGGUACAGCGUAUCGUAAACCUCUUUUGUCAGGGAACACGGGCGGGGACUAGUCCCCGGAUGAGGGUACCUGAAGAAAAAGCAUCGGCUAACUCCGUGCCAGCAGCCGCGGUAAUACGGGGGAUGCGGGGGUUAUCCGGAUUUUUUGGGUUUAAGGGGUGCGCAGGCGGCCUGUUAUGUCAGCGGUAAAACCCCGGGGCUCAACCCCGGCGAGCCGUUGAAACUGGCGGGCUGGAGUUGGAUAGAAGUACGCGGAAUGCGCGGUGUAGCGGUGAAAUGCUUAGAUAUCGCGCAGAACCCCGAUUGCGAAGGCAGCGUACCGGCUCCACACUGACGCUGAGGCACGAAAGCGUGGGUAUCGAACAGGAUUAGAUACCCGAGUAGUC
Molecule: ribosomal RNA, 459 nt
Filed under: uncultured bacterium
Lineage: Bacteria
Description: partial 16S ribosomal RNA
Rfam family: Bacterial small subunit ribosomal RNA
Source: RNAcentral